This 490-nucleotide ribosomal RNA is filed under the name uncultured bacterium. RNAcentral's name for it is "partial 16S ribosomal RNA". It matches the Rfam family "Bacterial small subunit ribosomal RNA", at positions 30 to 507 of the family's 1533-position model. The record is from RNAcentral.
AUUGAACGCUGGCGGCAGGCCUAACACAUGCAAGUCGAACGGUAACAGGAAGAAGCUUGCUUCUUUGCUGACGAGUGGCGGACGGGUGAGUAAUGUCUGGGAAACUGCCUGAUGGAGGGGGAUAACUACUGGAAACGGUAGCUAAUACCGCAUAACGUCGCAAGACCAAAGAGGGGGACCUUCGGGCCUCUUGCCAUCGGAUGUGCCCAGAUGGGAUUAGCUAGUAGGUGGGGUAACGGCUCACCUAGGCGACGAUCCCUAGCUGGUCUGAGAGGAUGACCAGCCACACUGGAACUGAGACACGGUCCAGACUCCUACGGGAGGUAGCAGUAGGGAAUCUUGCGCAAUGGGCGCAAGCCUGACGCAGCAACGCCGCGUGUAUGGAGAAGGCCUUCGGGUUGUAAAAUACUGUUAGUGGGGAGGAAGGGAGUAAAGUUAAUAUGUGCGCACAUUGACGUUACCCGAAGAAGAAGCAACGGCUAACUACGUG